RNAcentral lists this ribosomal RNA (253 nucleotides) under uncultured bacterium. Its description in RNAcentral is "partial 16S ribosomal RNA". It matches the Rfam family "Bacterial small subunit ribosomal RNA", at positions 524 to 776 of the family's 1533-position model. The record is from RNAcentral.
UACAGAGGUCUCGAGCGUUGUUCGGAUUUAUUGGGCGUAAAGGGUGCGUAGGCGGUAUGGCAAGUCAAGUGUGAAAUCUCGGAGCUCAACUUCGAAACUGCACUUGAUACUACUAUGCUAGAGGGUUGUAGAGGAGACCGGAAUUCACGGUGUAGCAGUGAAAUGCGUAGAGAUCAUGAGGAAGACCAGUGGCGAAGGCGGGUCUCUGGACAGUUCCUGACACUGAGACACGAAGGCCAGGGGAGCAAACGGG